GCAUUCAUGGGGUAGUGGUAACCUGGGUCGUUGCCAACUCCGUCUGAUUCGACCCGCCGCGGGUUCGAUUCCCGCUGAAUGCA
Molecule: transfer RNA, 83 nt
Organism: Laetiporus sulphureus 93-53
Lineage: Eukaryota; Fungi; Basidiomycota; Agaricomycetes; Polyporales; Laetiporaceae
Rfam family: tRNA
About the family: Transfer RNA (tRNA) molecules are approximately 80 nucleotides in length. Their secondary structure includes four short double-helical elements and three loops (D, anti-codon, and T loops). Further hydrogen bonds mediate the characteristic L-shaped molecular structure. tRNAs have two regions of fundamental functional importance: the anti-codon, which is responsible for specific mRNA codon recognition, and the 3' end, to which the tRNAs corresponding amino acid is attached (by aminoacyl-tRNA synthetases). tRNAs cope with the degeneracy of the genetic code in two manners: having more than one tRNA (with a specific anti-codon) for a particular amino acid; and 'wobble' base-pairing, i.e. permitting non-standard base-pairing at the 3rd anti-codon position.
Source: Rfam